This 292-nucleotide ribosomal RNA is filed under the name uncultured bacterium. Its description in RNAcentral is "partial 16S ribosomal RNA". It matches the Rfam family "Bacterial small subunit ribosomal RNA", at positions 505 to 796 of the family's 1533-position model. The record is from RNAcentral.
GUGUCAGCCGCCGCGGUAAUACGGAGGGCGCAAGCGUUGUUCGGAAUCAUUGGGCGUAAAGCGCGUGCAGGCGGCUUGGUAAGUCGGGUGUGAAAUCCCGGGGCUCAACCCCGGAACUGCACCCGAUACUGCCUCGCUCGAGUCCCGGAGAGGAUGGCGGAAUUUCCGGUGUAGAGGUGAAAUUCGUAGAUAUCGGAAGGAACACCAGCGGCGAAGGCGGCCAUCUGGACGGUGACUGACGCUCAGACGCGAAAGCGUGGGGAGCAAACAGGAUUAGAAACCCCGGUAGUCC